AUUGAACGCUGGCGGCAGGCCUAACACAUGCAAGUCGAGCGGUAGAGAGAAGCUUGCUUCUCUUGAGAGCGGCGGACGGGUGAGUAAUGCCUAGGAAUCUGCCUGGUGGUGGGGGAUAACGUUCGGAAACGGACGCUAAUACCGCAUACGUCCUACGGAAGAAAGCGGGGGAUCUUCGGACCUCGCGCCAUUAGAUGAGCCUAGGUCGGAUUAGCUAGUUGGUGAGGUAAUGGCUCACCAAGGCGACGAUCCGUAACUGGUCUGAGAGGAUGAUCAGUCACACUGGAACUGAGACACGGUCCAGACUCCUACGGGAGGCAGCAGUGGGGAAUAUUGGACAAUGGGCGAAAGCCUGAUCCAGCCAUGCCGCGUGUGUGAAGAAGGUCUUCGGAUUGUAAAGCACUUUAAGUUGGGAGGAUGGGUAGUAACCUAAUACGUUGCUACUUUGACGUUACCGAACAGAAUAAGCACCGGCUAACUUCGUAGCCAGCAGCCG
Molecule: ribosomal RNA, 496 nt
Filed under: uncultured bacterium
Lineage: Bacteria
Description: bacterial SSU rRNA
Rfam family: Bacterial small subunit ribosomal RNA
Source: RNAcentral